This is a non-coding RNA of Scytonema tolypothrichoides VB-61278, 78 nucleotides long. The record is from Rfam. NCBI's taxonomy places the organism in Bacteria, Bacillati, Cyanobacteriota, Cyanophyceae, Nostocales, Scytonemataceae.
GGGAGCCGUAUGCACAGAAAUGGGCACGUACGGAUCUAACUGAGAGGUGCGGGACAUAAUAGCCCCCAUCGACUCAAC